This 103-nucleotide transfer RNA is filed under the name Scleromatobacter humisilvae. Its description in RNAcentral is "tRNA-Cys". Lineage: Bacteria; Pseudomonadati; Pseudomonadota; Betaproteobacteria; Burkholderiales; Sphaerotilaceae. The record is from RNAcentral.
CGUAGCCAAGCGGCCGAAGGCGUCUGGUUGCAACCCAGAGGGCGCAAGCCCGCGUCAGUUCGCUCGGUGCUGCGCACCGGACGCAGCCUGCUGCGGGCCGCCA